GGGUGUGAUCAUACCAACACUAAUGCACUGGAUCCCAUCAAAAUCUGCAGUUAAACGAGCUUGGGCGAGAGUAGUACUAGGAUGGAUGACCUCCUAGGAAGUCCUCAUGUUGCACCCC
This is a non-coding RNA of Populus trichocarpa (black cottonwood), 118 nucleotides long. The record is from Rfam. Lineage: Eukaryota; Viridiplantae; Streptophyta; Magnoliopsida; Malpighiales; Salicaceae.